This 253-nucleotide ribosomal RNA is filed under the name uncultured bacterium. Its description in RNAcentral is "partial 16S ribosomal RNA". It matches the Rfam family "Bacterial small subunit ribosomal RNA", at positions 524 to 776 of the family's 1533-position model. The record is from RNAcentral.
UACGAAGGGGACUAGCGUUGUUCGGAAUUACUGGGCGUAAAGCGCGCGUAGGCGGAUCGCUAAGUCAGGGGUGAAAUCCCAGGGCUCAACCCUGGAACUGCCUUUGAUACUGACGAUCUGGAGAUCGGGAGAGGUGAGUGGAAUUCCGAGUGUAGAGGUGAAAUUCGUAGAUAUUCGGAAGAACACCAGUGGCGAAGGCGGCUCACUGGACUGGUAUUGACGCUGAGGUGCGAAAGCGUGGGGAGCAAACAGG